Molecule: ribosomal RNA, 496 nt
Filed under: uncultured bacterium
Lineage: Bacteria
Description: partial 16S ribosomal RNA
Rfam family: Bacterial small subunit ribosomal RNA
Source: RNAcentral
AUGAACGCUGGCGGCGUGCCUAAUACAUGCAGGUCGAGCGAACGGACGAGAAGCUUGCUUCUCUGAUGUUAGCGGCGGACGGGUGAGUAACACGUGGAUAACCUACCUAUAAGACUGGGAUAACUUCGGGAAACCGGAGCUAAUACCGGAUGAUAUUUUGAACCGCAUGGUUCAAAAGUGAAAGACGGUCUUGCUGUCACUUAUAGAUGGAUCCGCGCUGCAUUAGCUAGUUGGUAAGGUAACGGCUUACCAAGGCAACGAUGCAUAGCCGACCUGAGAGGGUGAUCGGCCACACUGGAACUGAGACACGGUCCAAACUCCUACGGGAGGCAGCAGUAGGGAAUCUUCCGCAAUGGGCGAAAGCCUGACGGAGCAACGCCGCGUGAGUGAUGAAGGUCUUCGGAUCGUAAAACUCUGUUAUUAGGGAAGAACAUAUGUGUAAGUAACUGUGCACAUCUUGACGGUACCUAAUCAGAAAGCCACGGCUAACUACGUG